AGAUGAAGCAUUUUAAUGGUUAUUCAUUGACUUUUUUACAUCUUGGAAAUGACCUAGAAGAUGAAGCUGAGGAAGAUGGUGCCAAUGUUGAUCUUGACUCAUGAAGGAAGGGGAAGUGUGUCGUUCUAUAAACAUCUACAAGCCAAAUCUCAUCUUCUUCAUGUGUGCCACUUUAUGGGACUGUUCAGUAUACAUGGAAGGCCAAUGGAAGCUACUAACACCAUCCUCAUUAUAAAAUCCUAAUAAGAUCUGCUAAGAUGACAGAGCCUUCUAAGCUUAUUCAUGUCCGAAACGUUGGCCAUGAAAUAUCUGAGAGUGAUCUGCUUCAGCUAGUGCAUCCUUUUGGAGUUGUCACUAAGCUUGUGAUGUUACGUGCCAAAGAUCAGGUUUUCUUUCUGGGGUCCUAGUUGUUUGGAACUCUAUAGUUAUUACAUGCAUGCUUAUGCUCCUAGACUGCCUGCAUUUAGUUGUUUGAUCUAUAUCUGCCAAUUUGUCAGCCUCUUCUUCAGAUGCAAGACAUGGCUUCUGUCGUCAAUGCAACCGGUUUUAGGUACUCAGUCCCCAAUGGACCUAAUUGUACUGGGUUUUUGUAUAGAUGUUUCAUUUGUUUGUUGCUUGAGCCAUUCUAGGUAACCAGUCCUAAAUGGACCAUAAAAAAUAGAUGGAAGAUCUUUCAAUCCAAAUUUCAGGCUGGAGAUAUUUGUUGAACUGCCUAAUGCAAGUGUUGGGGUCCUAGCCUCUGUUUGAACAUGAAUGAUCAUGGGAGUAGUAGCCUCAACUGUCUACUACAAUCUUAAGCUAAGGCAUCCCACUCUAGAUAUGCCCUUCAUAGACAACGACUUGGCAUUGCUUUUCCAACCGAUGCCUAUGCUUGGAAUCAGUAUUGGAGUCGCUUUCAAUGUGGUUUUUCCUUCAUCCAGUUUGAAGCAGUAUUGGAGUCAUGACUCUAACUCUCAUCUGUUUCUUGCCUUUGAAACUUAACCAGUGGUGCAAUGUUGUUUGGUAGAAAUUCAGCCUUUGAAACUUGCCUCAUUUUGUCACAUUAUUCAAAUUGAGUGCAUUUGCUUUGACCUGUUUAUCUAGUUUUAGUUUAUAGGCCACCGAUCAAAUGGUUAAGAUUGUUUUCAUCAGUGAUAUCCAUUUUAACCUUUUGUGCAUCUUUCUGUGAAAAGAUUUUGGUCCAUUUCUUCCCCCAUCUAUCCAUAAGACACCAGUCACCUAGCACUUGAUCUUACAUAUCCUCAAGAUACUGGCAUGACAACAACUCUCCUAAGAUCUAGAAUCUCACAAUGCACUUCAAUUGCUAAAGAAACAAAUAUUUAAAGCCUUUUUCACACUUUAAAACAAUGGGUUUCCUUUAAAUUUUCUCCAAGCUGACUACCGAAGGGAAUUCUGUAAGCUAACAAUGGUGAGCUCAAGAUGAAUUUUAGGCUUUCCAUUUUCCUUUAUUUUGUAUUUGACCUUCCUUUUUUUGGCAAUGAACAUAUUGCCAUCUUGUCUUUAGAAUUUCAUCAGAGCUUUUACU
Molecule: long non-coding RNA, 1525 nt
Organism: Magnolia sinica
Lineage: Eukaryota; Viridiplantae; Streptophyta; Magnoliopsida; Magnoliales; Magnoliaceae
Exons: 4
Source: RefSeq, a predicted model, not a curated record